CAUAGAUUAGUGAUCCUCGUCACAAGAGGGUUACAAGGAAAGGACGCAGGAGCGUCAAGUGGACAAGCGAGUGGCGAACCACGUUUGAAGGGCCUACUUUGAAGUUUCUAGGUGUUGCAAAUCUACGGAUGGCGAUCAAGCAACUUGUUGAAGAACCGAACACUACUUUUGAAGCUUCCGCUAUUUCAUAACUUUGUUAAACAAUGUUACUAUUCCUUUUGAAUAUAAAUUAGGUCGGGAAUGUUUUAACUAGUCGGUUCUUGACUAGUUUUGAUUACUUCAAACUUUGUUUUGGUACUAUGUUUUGACUUAGGUACCUUUUAUAUAAAUCCUAUGAAUUUUUAUUAAAUUCAAGUAAUAAAUAGAUGGGUGUUACAAGUUGGUAAUCAGAGCUUAAGGUUGUCAACAAAGUGUUCGGUUCAAGCUUGA
Molecule: long non-coding RNA, 429 nt
Organism: Helianthus annuus (common sunflower)
Lineage: Eukaryota; Viridiplantae; Streptophyta; Magnoliopsida; Asterales; Asteraceae
Exons: 3
Source: RefSeq, a predicted model, not a curated record